UAUGAAGGAGUAGACAAAGAAUAGAAAAUGAGAGAUCUAGUAAGCAUGAACUUACCCAAGGUUGCUGCUGAGCAUCAAGAUGACAAAGAAGGGAAGACAAUCAACAGAAAGCUUGAUGAACAGCCACAAUUAGAUGGUUUUAGCGAAAUUCUUGAAAAGUGGCAAAACAUAUUAAAUGAGAUUUCACAAGUCGAAGUAGAGGAGAUUAUGAGUAAGAAUACAGCUGAGAUGGGAAAGAUGAAAUCGAAACCAAACGACAUUCUUGAUCUCAAAAUUCAACGAUGAAAGAGAAAUGUGAGAACAAUGAUUCCGCAAUAUCAGCAGUAAAAGAUCUAAUCACUGAGAUUUUCAGAAAGAUUCGGGAAGAUAAAGUUGAAUUCGGAAAACUACUAAAUGAAGUUGGAUCAGCAGUUUUAAAAGUGGAAUCAUGUGUGUCUCAGGUGAAAUUGGAGGCGUCUGAGAUCUAAAAAGACAUUCAGAAGUUGAAAUCGACAAACUUGGAAAAUUACUCGAAAGAGCUUUACAAAAAGAAAUGUAAUUGGAUUUCUGAUGUAAUACAAGGGAAAAAAAAUGUAUAAUUUGAUAAAUACGUUUUUGACAUUCACACUACAAUGCAGUUUCUCAAAUAAUUUUCUGA
Long non-coding RNA from Beta vulgaris subsp. vulgaris (sugar beet), 637 nucleotides. RefSeq lists it as uncharacterized. The record is from RefSeq and is a predicted model, not a curated record. NCBI's taxonomy places the organism in Eukaryota, Viridiplantae, Streptophyta, Magnoliopsida, Caryophyllales, Amaranthaceae. The transcript is spliced from 2 exons.